Molecule: ribosomal RNA, 802 nt
Filed under: Acinetobacter sp.
Lineage: Bacteria; Pseudomonadati; Pseudomonadota; Gammaproteobacteria; Moraxellales; Moraxellaceae
Description: bacterial SSU rRNA
Rfam family: Bacterial small subunit ribosomal RNA
Source: RNAcentral
GUGGGGUAAAGGCCUACCAAGGCGACGAUCUGUAGCGGGUCUGAGAGGAUGAUCCGCCACACUGGGACUGAGACACGGCCCAGACUCCUACGGGAGGCAGCAGUGGGGAAUAUUGGACAAUGGGCGCAAGCCUGAUCCAGCCAUGCCGCGUGUGUGAAGAAGGCCUUAUGGUUGUAAAGCACUUUAAGCGAGGAGGAGGCUACUUUAGUUAAUACCUAGAGAUAGUGGACGUUACUCGCAGAAUAAGCACCGGCUAACUCUGUGCCAGCAGCCGCGGUAAUACAGAGGGUGCAAGCGUUAAUCGGAUUUACUGGGCGUAAAGCGCGCGUAGGCGGCUAAUUAAGUCAAAUGUGAAAUCCCCGAGCUUAACUUGGGAAUUGCAUUCGAUACUGGUUAGCUAGAGUGUGGGAGAGGAUGGUAGAAUUCCAGGUGUAGCGGUGAAAUGCGUAGAGAUCUGGAGGAAUACCGAUGGCGAAGGCAGCCAUCUGGCCUAACACUGACGCUGAGGUGCGAAAGCAUGGGGAGCAAACAGGAUUAGAUACCCUGGUAGUCCAUGCCGUAAACGAUGUCUACUAGCCGUUGGGGCCUUUGAGGCUUUAGUGGCGCAGCUAACGCGAUAAGUAGACCGCCUGGGGAGUACGGUCGCAAGACUAAAACUCAAAUGAAUUGACGGGGGCCCGCACAAGCGGUGGAGCAUGUGGUUUAAUUCGAUGCAACGCGAAGAACCUUACCUGGCCUUGACAUAGUAAGAACUUUCCAGAGAUGGAUUGGUGCCUUCGGGAACUUACAUACAGGUGCUGCA